This 426-nucleotide ribosomal RNA is filed under the name uncultured bacterium. Its description in RNAcentral is "bacterial SSU rRNA". It matches the Rfam family "Bacterial small subunit ribosomal RNA", at positions 354 to 796 of the family's 1533-position model. The record is from RNAcentral.
GCAGGGAAUCUUGGGCAAUGGGCGCAAGCCUGACCCAGCGACGCCGCGUGGGGGACGAAGGCCUUCGGGUCGUAAACCCCUUUUCCGGGGGAAGAGAAAGGACGGUACCCUGGGAAUAAGCCUCGGCUAACUACGUGCCAGCAGCCGCGGUAAUACGUAGGAGGCGAGCGUUGUCCGGAUUUACUGGGCGUAAAGGGCGUGUAGGCGGUCGGGUAAGUCCCCUGUGAAAUUUCCUGGCUCAACUGGGAAAGGUCGGGGGAUACUGCUCGGCUUGAGGGCAGCAGAGGAGGGUGGAAUUCCCGGUGUAACGGUGAAAUGUGUAGAUAUCGGGAGGAACACCAGUGGCGAAGGCGGCCCUCUGGGCUGUUCCUGACGCUGAGGCGCGAAAGCGUGGGGAGCAAACCGGAUCAGAUACCCGUGUAGUCC